GGUGAAAAGCACCCCGGAAGGGGAGUGAAAUAGAACCUGAAACCGUGUGCUUACAAGUAGUCAGAGCCCGUUAAUGGGUGAUGGCGUGCCUUUUGUAGAAUGAACCGGCGAGUUACGAUUUGAUGCAAGGUUAAGCAGUAAAUGUGGAGCCGUAGCGAAAGCGAGUCUGAAUAGGGCGUUUAGUAUUUGGUCGUAGACCCGAAACCAGGUGAUCUACCCUUGGUCAGGUUGAAGUUCAGGUAACACUGAAUGGAGGACCGAACCGACUUACGUUGAAAAGUGAGCGGAUGAACUGAGGGUAGCGGAGAAAUUCCAAUCGAACCUGGAGAUAGCUGGUUCUCUCCGAAAUAGCUUUAGGGCUAGCCUCAAGUGAUGAUUAUUGGAGGUAGAGCACUGUUUGGACGAGGGGCCCCUCUCGGGUUACCGAAUUCAGACAAACUCCGAAUGCCAAUUAAUUUAACUUGGGAGUCAGAACAUGGGUGAUAAGGUCCGUGUUCGAAAGGGAAACAGCCCAGACCACCAGCUAAGGUCCCAAAAUAUAUGUUAAGUGGAAAAGGAUGUGGCGUUGCCCAGACAACUAGGAUGUUGGCUUAGAAGCAGCCAUCAUUUAAAGAGUGCGUAAUAGCUCACUAGUCGAGUGACACUGCGCCGAAAAUGUACCGGGGCUAAACAUAUUACCGAAGCUGUGGAUUGUCCUUUGGACAAUGGUAGGAGAGCGUUCUAAGGGCUUUGAAGCAUGAUCGUAAGGACAUGUGGAGCGCUUAGAAGUGAGAAUGCCGGUGUGAGUAGCGAAAGACGGGUGAGAAUCCCGUCCACCGAUUGACUAAGGUUUCCAGAGGAAGGCUCGUCCGCUCUGGGUUAGUCGGGUCCUAAGCUGAGGCCGACAGGCGUAGGCGAUGGAUAACAGGUUGAUAUUCCUGUACCACCUAUAAUCGUUUUAAUCGAUGGGGGGACGCAGUAGGAUAGGCGAAGCGUGCGAUUGGAUUGCACGUCUAAGCAGUAAGGCUGAGUAUUAGGCAAAUCCGGUACUCAUUAAGGCUGAGAUGUGAUGGGGAGAAGACAUUGUGUCUUCGAGUCGUUGAUUUCACACUGCCGAGAAAAGCCUCUAGAUAGAAAAUAGGUGCCCGUACCGCAAACCGACACAG
Molecule: ribosomal RNA, 1145 nt
Filed under: Staphylococcus aureus
Lineage: Bacteria; Bacillati; Bacillota; Bacilli; Caryophanales; Staphylococcaceae
Description: partial 23S ribosomal RNA
Rfam family: Bacterial large subunit ribosomal RNA
Source: RNAcentral